GCUGUUCAAAUCUUCACCCACCUCUUCGUGGUGAGCAGCAGGCAACGGUCUUAUGACUGGCUGAGAUGCGAA
RNAcentral lists this ribozyme (72 nucleotides) under Blautia luti. Its description in RNAcentral is "HDV ribozyme from F. prausnitzii". It matches the Rfam family "HDV ribozyme from F. prausnitzii". The record is from RNAcentral. Lineage: Bacteria; Bacillati; Bacillota; Clostridia; Lachnospirales; Lachnospiraceae.